This 357-nucleotide transfer-messenger RNA is filed under the name Acidimicrobiia bacterium. It matches the Rfam family "transfer-messenger RNA". From Rfam's summary of the family: Bacterial tmRNA, also known as 10Sa RNA or SsrA, is named for its dual tRNA and mRNA-like properties. Its role is to liberate the mRNA from a stalled ribosome. To accomplish this part of the tmRNA is used as a reading frame that ends in a translation stop signal. Lineage: Bacteria; Bacillati; Actinomycetota; Acidimicrobiia. The record is from RNAcentral.
GGGGGUGACUUGGUUUCGACUUUGAGGGUUGAAGCGACGGAAGCGAGCCGAGGUCUCCGGAGUCCUCGUUAAAGAGCCGGAAACACGAUAAGUGCCGAAGACAACUUCGCACUGGCUGCGUAAGUAACGCAACCCGUCUGACCGAGAGGGCCGCCUACACCAAUCGGAUCAGGCGUCGCCAACGUAGGCUGCGCCCGCCGGGAUUCCGGGACCGGCGGAGUAAGCACAAUUCUGGAUAGGGCGGAGGGAAACUUGCCGACAGAGUCCCACCGUCCGAAAGCUCGCUGUCGGCUGCGCUCGGAGAUGCCGGCGCUGAAGCCUCAGAGGACCGGGGUUCGAAUCCCCGCACCUCCACCG